Molecule: ribosomal RNA, 1599 nt
Filed under: Candidatus Woesebacteria bacterium GWB1_43_5
Lineage: Bacteria; Candidatus Woeseibacteriota
Source: RNAcentral
UAACGCGUUAAGCGAGCCGCCUGGGGAGUACGAACGCAAGUUUAAAACUCAAAGGAAUUGGCGGGGACCCGCACAACCAGUGGAGCAUGUGGUUCAAUUCGAGACGAACCGAAGAACCUUACCUGGACUUGACAUUCUAUCGUUUUAGUUUUGUAGAAAUAUGAGACGAUCCUAAUAGAAAUAUUAGGAAGAUAGAACAGGUGCUGCAUGGCUAUCGUCAGCUCGUGCCGUAGGGUGUUCCCUUCAGUGGGGUAACGAGCGCAACCCCUGUCGCAUGUUAAAUAUUCAUGCGAGACUAUCUCGAUUUUUCGAGGAGGAAGUGGGGACGACGUUAAGUCAGCAUGGCCCUUAUGUCCAGGGCGACACACAUGCUACAAUGGCCGCUACAAUGGGUUGCCAAACCGUAAGGUGGAGCUAAUCCCAUCAAAAGCGGUCUCAGUGGGGAUUGAGGGCUGCAACUCGCCCUCAUGAACGCGGAAUUGGUAGUAAUCGCGAAUCAGCUAUGUCGCGGUGAAUACGUUCUCGGGUCUUGCACAAAUUAAAUUGCGCCUUCCGGCCAUAAUUUUUACCAGGUGGAAAUCCUGGGAAGAACAGAUAAAUUUCUUCAAGCGAAAUGACAUCCUUUGACUGUGAAGUUGAAGUGAGAAGGGUCAAAGUAGCAGUUUUUAGUUUGAAGUCGAUACGGACUUGUUAGAUGACGAUCCUAGCGUGCACAUGGAGAAGUCAUUUGUCAAUUUAUCUAACAGGUUAAGUGGGCUCGAAAUGGAGACAAAAUAAAUUAUGGUUACGAAGGGAGAUCUGAUAUUGACUUUCGGUAAUACUUCGGUAUUAUGAAAGUAGGAAUAAAUGUGAAUUUAUUCUGAUUAAAUAUCAGAAGUCUGCUGAAUUCAUAGUAGUCUCGCUCAGCGGGAUGAAGGGAUUCUACAAUUUCUAGUAUGCGUAAUAAUGCUUAAUUCUAAUUAUGUUUCUGGUUUAGUAGAUGGAGAAGGAUGUUUUUGUAUUACCAUUUCUCGUCAUAAGACAAAAAGGUUUGGAGUUGAUCCAAGGCUUGAGUUUGAGAUAGAGAUGAUAAUUGAAGACAAACUGCUUCUUGAAAAACUUCAGGAAACAUUAGGCUGUGGUCGGGUAUUUGUUCUCUCUUAUGAGAGAUACGGAUGGAGACCACAUGCUAAAUUUGCUGUUAAAAGUCAGAAGGAAAUAUUUGAAAAAAUAGUUCCUUUCUUUAUAGAAAACCCUUUACAUAGCAAGAAGAAGAAAGAUUUUGAAUUUUUUCUUCAAGCUGUAGAGAUAUUUAAAGCGAAAAGACAUUUAAUGCCAGAUGGAAUUAGAGAAUUAAGGGAGAUUCAGUCGAAAAUGAAUCUUAGACGCAGACUGAAAUGGUCGUCCGCCAGGGUACGGGAAAACCGUGUGCCCAGUGGGGAUAGAAACCUUAAUUUGGUGACAGGUUAAGUGAUUUCAGAACACCGCCCGUCAAGUCAGAGGAGUUGGAGAUACCCGAAGGCCGCAGCUGCGGCCGAAGGUAGAGCCAGCAACUAGGAUUAAGUCGUAACAAGGUAUCCGUUCUGGAAGGAGCGGAUGGAUCACCUCCUUUCUAAGGAG